Molecule: ribosomal RNA, 490 nt
Filed under: uncultured bacterium
Lineage: Bacteria
Description: partial 16S ribosomal RNA
Rfam family: Bacterial small subunit ribosomal RNA
Source: RNAcentral
GAUGAACGCUAGCUACAGGCUUAACACAUGCAAGUCGAGGGGCAGCAUGGUCUUAGCUUGCUAAGGCCGAUGGCGACCGGCGCACGGGUGAGUAACACGUAUCCAACCUGCCGUCUACUCUUGGACAGCCUUCUGAAAGGAAGAUUAAUACAAGAUGGCAUCAUGAGUCCGCAUGUUCACAUGAUUAAAGGUAUUCCGGUAGACGAUGGGGAUGCGUUCCAUUAGAUAGUAGGCGGGGUAACGGCCCACCUAGUCUUCGAUGGAUAGGGGUUCUGAGAGGAAGGUCCCCCACAUUGGAACUGAGACACGGUCCAAACUCCUACGGGAGGCAGCAGUGAGGAAUAUUGGUCAAUGGGCGCAGGACUGAACCAGCCAAGUAGCGUGAAGGAUGACUGACCUAUGGGUUGUAAACUUCUUUUAUAAAGGAAUAAAGUCGGGUAUGUAUACCCGUUUGCAUGUACUUUAUGAAUAAGGAUCGGCUAACUCCGUG